GAUGAACGCUAGCUACAGGCUUAACACAUGCAAGUCGCGGGGCAGCAUGGGGGUUGCUUGCAAUCCCCGAUGGCGACCGGCGCACGGGUGAGUAACGCGUAUCCAACCUGCCCUUCACCACGGGAUAACCCGGCGAAAGUCGGACUAAUACCGUAUGUUGUCCAUUGACGGCAUCCGAUUUGGACGAAAGGCUUGGCGGUGAGGGAUGGGGAUGCGUCCGAUUAGCCAGACGGCGGGGUAACGGCCCACCGUGGCUACGAUCGGUAGGGGUUCUGAGAGGAAGGUACCCCACACUGGAACUGAGACACGGUCCAGACUCCUACGGGAGGCAGCAGUGAGGAAUAUUGGUCAAUGGGCGUAAGCCUGAACCAGCCAAGUAGCGUGCAGGAUGACGGCCCUAUGGGUUGUAAACUGCUUUUAUGCGGGGAUAAAGUGGCCCACGUGUGGGCUUUUGCAGGUACCGCAUGAAUAAGGACCGGCUAAUUCCGUG
This 490-nucleotide ribosomal RNA is filed under the name uncultured bacterium. RNAcentral describes it as "partial 16S ribosomal RNA". It matches the Rfam family "Bacterial small subunit ribosomal RNA", at positions 28 to 507 of the family's 1533-position model. The record is from RNAcentral.